This 357-nucleotide long non-coding RNA is filed under the name Pomacea canaliculata. RNAcentral describes it as "uncharacterized LOC112574206, transcript variant X1". The record is from RNAcentral. Lineage: Eukaryota; Metazoa; Mollusca; Gastropoda; Architaenioglossa; Ampullariidae.
GGCGCGCUCCACGUCUGAUUACGACAUCCACGGCCGCCGCCUUGCGACAACGAGUCGCUUUGCGGCAAACAGUUGGCAGGAUUUCGCGCGCGAGGUGUGUCUCUGAUUCCCUCUGGCUCUUGCUGCGAUUUGGUGUGCCUGCUGAGGCGAGCUGACUGCUACUGCUUUAAUCACCGCGUGGCGGACACCUGCCGCACGUGCACAGCAUGAGGCCGAGGUGGUGACUCGCGCGUGCUGCUGCCUGCUGCUCUCCUCAUCUCGUCUGUCGUCACUGCUGUCGUUACCACACUUGCCUCCCCUGCCUGCUGUAGCCUCCUUGUCCUGCUUCCAGCGCCCCUGCAAGGUUGGUGCCGUGAC